Molecule: ribosomal RNA, 479 nt
Filed under: uncultured bacterium
Lineage: Bacteria
Description: bacterial SSU rRNA
Rfam family: Bacterial small subunit ribosomal RNA
Source: RNAcentral
GAUGAACGCUAGCGGGAGGCUUAACACAUGCAAGUCGAGGGGUAUUCCGGUAACACGGGAGAGACCGGCGGACGGGUGGCGUAACGCGUAUGCAACCUACCUUAUGCUGGAGGAUAGGCUUCGGAAACGGGGAUUAAUACUUCAUAAGCCUUAUGAUUUGCAUGAGUUAUAAGGGAAAGCUUAGGUGGCAUAAGAUGGGCAUGCGUCUGAUUAGCUUGAUGGUAAGGUAACGGCUUACCAUUGCAAUGAUCAGUAGGGGUCCUGAGAGGGAGGUCCCCCACACUGGUACUGAGAUACGGACCAGACUCCUACGGGAGGCAGCAGUGAGGAAUAUUGGGCAAUGGGCGGAAGCCUGACCCAGCCAUUCCGCGUGCAGGAAGAAGGCCUUAUGGGUUGUAAACUGCUUUUCUGCGGGGAGAAAAGCUCCAAUGCGUUGGGGAAUGACGGUACCGCAGGAAUAAGCAUCGGCUAACUCCGUG